UUGCUACUCCCUCCGUUCGGAAUUACUUAUCGUAUAAAUGGAUAUAUUUAGAUGUACUUUAGUUCUAUAUACAUUCAUUUUCAAUACAAGUAAUUCCGAACGAAGGGAGUAGUUU
Molecule: non-coding RNA, 115 nt
Organism: Triticum urartu
Lineage: Eukaryota; Viridiplantae; Streptophyta; Magnoliopsida; Poales; Poaceae
Source: Rfam